CAGGCAAAAUUGCCUCCAAGAUCCUUUUCUGCUCGAAUAUUCAUUGAGCCAAAGAAGGUUAAGAACACAUAUAAAUUGAGAAUUCUGUAAUUUUAAGAUUCAUCUGGAAAAAUGGCACCCUGGCACCAGCCAUCAGGACUAAGAUGGAGAGUUUGCAGUCAAAUGAAAUUAAGGUUGAACCCAGUUCUGCCAGUUCCUUGCUCCAUAACCCCUAGAAAAUUACUUCUGUCUGAGCCUUGGGAUUCUCUGUCUCUUUUUUAUUUAUUUAUUUAUUUAUUUUUGAGACAGAGUCUCGCUUUGUCGCCCAGGCUGGAGUGCAGUGGUUGCAGUGAGCCAAGAUUGCGCCAUUGCAAUCCAACCUGGGUGACAGAUUGAGACUCUGUC
This 384-nucleotide long non-coding RNA is filed under the name Pan troglodytes (chimpanzee). Its description in RNAcentral is "lincRNA". The record is from RNAcentral. Lineage: Eukaryota; Metazoa; Chordata; Mammalia; Primates; Hominidae.